This is a long non-coding RNA of Pecten maximus, 1163 nucleotides long. RefSeq lists it as uncharacterized. The record is from RefSeq and is a predicted model, not a curated record. Lineage: Eukaryota; Metazoa; Mollusca; Bivalvia; Pectinida; Pectinidae. The transcript has 2 exons.
AUCGACUCACAAUAAACCCAGGUGUGACAAUGAUAGCAUCUGGAGUGACUGUUGUUGCUUGUAAAAAUUCAUGAAUGAAAAAAAUCCCAAGUUCAACAAUUAUGACUGUCCAACAUACCAGUAUGUCCAUCUAUAUAUUAAAAACAGGAGGCAAAAAAGGCAGUGAUGAUUGUAGGUUUAGCCAAAGAAACCAGAUGGAACCAAAUGAUAGUGUCAAUUUGUCCAUCUAUAUAUGAGCCAUAGAAACUUUCAGAGGGAACAGAAUGGAUUGUUCUCCAUCAUGGCAGUCUAUGUAUACCGUAGGCCAAAAAACUAGAGGAAACAGAAUAGGCUGAUCUCCAUCAUAUCUUUCUAUAAAUAGGCCAAAGAAACCAUAGGGAACUGAACAGUUGGUCAAAAACACCAGAGGGAACUGAAUGGUUGGCCAAAGAAAACCAGAGUACAUUUAAAUGGUUGCAUGCUCUCUGUCAUACCAGUCUAUUAUAGGCUGAAUGGUUUUUUUCCAAAGAAACCAGAAUAAACCGAAUGGUUUGUCCAAAGAAACCAUAGGGAACGGAAAGGUUUGGCAAAAGGAGCAAGAAGGAACUGAACAGUUUGGCCAAAGAAGCCAGAAUGAACUGAAUGAUCGACUAAAAGAAACCAGAGGGAACUGAACGGUUGGCCAAAGAAACCAGAGGGAACUGAACAGUUGGCCAAAGAAACCAGAGGGAACUGAACGGUUGGCCAAAGAAACCAGAGGGAACUGAACGAUGACUACAAACUGGAAAACCAAAAACCUUGAGGAUUCAAGUCAUCAAACAAGAAUAUGAUGUAGUUACCAUGGCUACCAAAGCUUUCAUGGAGUUGAGUUACAACUUCUCUUUGAUAAGACUAUAAAUCUACCUUUUGCAUCAGUGCAGGAUCAGUCAGAUGACAAAUUACUUUGAUGUGAUGUCUUCAGGAUAAGUCUUCAUAGCCUUUCUCAGCUUACUGCACAUAAAUGUUUACAACUUAGGGGUCACUCAGAGAUCAACUGCAGAAAAUGCUGAGUAACCUUGAAGACUAUAACAGAUGGUGUAGAUAAGUUUGUUGAAGCAGCAGUCCUUAUAGAAGAUGAUAUUUCAUGUUUAUUUGUAGUGUUGAAAUGAUGUACAUGUUAGUGUUUAAUAAAUUUUGUUCACCAG